This 491-nucleotide ribosomal RNA is filed under the name uncultured bacterium. RNAcentral describes it as "SSU rRNA". It matches the Rfam family "Bacterial small subunit ribosomal RNA", at positions 26 to 524 of the family's 1533-position model. The record is from RNAcentral.
AGGAUUAACGCUGGCGGCGUGCAUGAAACAUGCAAGUCGAGCGCGGUGUGAUGCGGGGUAACCCAAUUCACAUCUAGCGGCGAACGGGUGAGUAACACGUGAGCAACCUACCUUUGAGUUGGGGAUAGCCCUGGGAAACCAGGAUUAAUACCCGAUGUGGUCACAACAGGACAUCCUGAUGUGAGUAAAGGCGCAAGCCGCUCAAUGACGGGCUCGCGGCCUAUUAGCUUGUUGGUGGGGUAACGGCCUACCAAGGCGAUGAUGGGUAGCUGGUCUGAGAGGACGAUCAGCCACACUGGGACUGAGACACGGCCCAGACUCCUACGGGAGGCAGCAGUUAGGAAUUUUCCGCAAUGGGCGAAAGCCUGACGGAGCAACGCCGCGUGAGUGAUGAAGACCUUAGGGUUGUAAAGCUCUGUCGGAGGGAAGAACACAAUGACGGUACCCUCCAAGAAAGCCCCGGCUAACUACGUGCCAGCAGCCGCGGUAAU